RNAcentral lists this ribosomal RNA (490 nucleotides) under uncultured bacterium. Its description in RNAcentral is "partial 16S ribosomal RNA". It matches the Rfam family "Bacterial small subunit ribosomal RNA", at positions 30 to 507 of the family's 1533-position model. The record is from RNAcentral.
AGUGAACGCUGGCGGCAGGCCUAACACAUGCAAGUCGAACGGCAACACAGGACAGCUUGCUGUUUCGCGGGCGAGUGGCGGACGGGUGAGGAAUGUAUAGGAAGCUGCCUAGUGGGGGGGGAUAACUGGUGGAAACGGACGCUAAUACCGCAUACCACCUGCGGGCGAGAGAGGGGGAGCGAAGGACCUCUUGCGAGCGGAUGUGCCCAGGUGGGAUUAGCUAGUGGGGGGGGUAGUGGCCUACCAGGGCGACGAUCCGUAGGUGGUCGGAGAGGCUGAUCAGCCACCCUGGAACUGAGACAGCGUCCAGGCUCCUACGGGAGGCAGCAGUGGGGAAUAUUGGACAAUGGGCGCAAGCCUUAUCCAGCCAUGCCGCGUGUGUGAAGAAGGCCUUCGGGUUGUAAAGCCCUUUUUUUGGGUAUGAACCGCUUUAGGCUAAUACCAUGGGUGAGUGACGGUACCCGAAGAAGAAGCACCGGCUAACUACGUG